ACCAACCAGAUUCCUUACCCUCAGAUCUAACCAUUGGUCAAAGUGGCCAAAAAAGGAGGAAAAGUAACUGAAGUGGACUUGGCGUCUUUAGUGACAUCCAAGUUCAUGACCAAAAGGU
RNAcentral lists this small nucleolar RNA (118 nucleotides) under Echinops telfairi (small Madagascar hedgehog). RNAcentral describes it as "Small nucleolar RNA SNORA61 (ENSETEG00000025262.1)". Lineage: Eukaryota; Metazoa; Chordata; Mammalia; Afrosoricida; Tenrecidae. The record is from RNAcentral.